UGAAAUGCGAUAAGUAAUGUGAAUUGCAGAAUUUCGUGAAUCAUCGAAUCUUUGAACGCACAUUGCGCCCUAUGGUAUUCCGUAGGGCAUGCCUGUCUGAGCGUCAGCUCUCCCCGACUAUCAAAUCCUUUUGCAAAAAAGUUUUUGGAUAUAUUCAAAGAUGUAGCCUUGUAAAAAGGUGUUACCCUUUGAAAAAGUAAAGGCAGUACUGUUGAACCUGAAGGUAGACGUGAUAUAUAUUUUCGUUUCUUUUUAGGUAGGACUGUUGCUUGCCUCCAACCCACUGAACUUCUUUGGGUGACCUCAGAUCAGGUAGGGAUACCCGCUGAACUUAA
RNAcentral lists this unclassified non-coding RNA (335 nucleotides) under uncultured Pezizomycetes. RNAcentral describes it as "sequence contains ITS1". The stretch from base 1 to 106 matches the Rfam family "5.8S ribosomal RNA", at positions 49 to 154 of the family's 154-position model. Lineage: Eukaryota; Fungi; Ascomycota; Pezizomycetes. The record is from RNAcentral.